CAUGCAAGUCGAGCGAUGAAGCUGCUUCGGUAGUGAAUUAGCGGCGAACGGGUGAGGAACACGUGAGGAAUCUGCCUUCAACACUGGGAUAACUCCGGGAAACCGGGGCUAAUACCGGAUAUGAGCUCUGAUCGCAUGGACGGGGCUGGAAAGUUUUUCGGUUGAAGAUGACCUCGCGGCCUAUCAGCUUGUUGGUGAGGUAAUGGCUCACCAAGGCGACGACGGGUAGCCGGCCUGAGAGGGCGACCGGCCACACUGGGACUGAGACACGGCCCAGACUCCUACGGGAGGCAGCAGUGGGGAAUAUUGGGCAAUGGAGGAAACUCUGACCCAGCGACGCCGCGUGCGGGAUGAAGGCCUUCGGGUUGUAAACCGCUUUCAGUAGGGAAGAAGCGAAAGUGACGGUACCUACAGAAGAAGCACCGGCUAACUAUGUGCCAGCAGCCGCGGUAAUACAUAGGGUGCAAGCGUUGUCCGGAAUUAUUGGGCGUAAAGAGCUCGUAGGUGGUUUGAUACGUCGGAUGUGAAAUUCAGGGGCUCAACCCCUGACCUGCAUUCGAUACGGUCAAGCUAGAGUUUGGUAGGGGAGACUGGAAUUCCUGGUGUAGCGGUGGAAUGCGCAGAUAUCAGGAGGAACACCGAUGGCGAAGGCAGGUCUCUGGGCCAAUACUGACACUGAGGAGCGAAAGCGUGGGGAGCGAACAGGAUUAGAUACCCU
This 718-nucleotide ribosomal RNA is filed under the name uncultured Actinomycetes bacterium. RNAcentral describes it as "bacterial SSU rRNA". It matches the Rfam family "Bacterial small subunit ribosomal RNA", at positions 54 to 788 of the family's 1533-position model. The record is from RNAcentral. Lineage: Bacteria; Bacillati; Actinomycetota; Actinomycetes.